This 87-nucleotide transfer RNA is filed under the name Candidatus Nomurabacteria bacterium. RNAcentral describes it as "tRNA-Leu". It matches the Rfam family "tRNA". From Rfam's summary of the family: Transfer RNA (tRNA) molecules are approximately 80 nucleotides in length. Their secondary structure includes four short double-helical elements and three loops (D, anti-codon, and T loops). Lineage: Bacteria; Candidatus Nomuraibacteriota. The record is from RNAcentral.
GCGCGCGUGGCGGAAUUGGUAGACGCGAUGGCUUCAGGAGUCAUUGAACGCAAGUUCGUGGAGGUUCAAGUCCUCUCGCGCGCACCA